This is a long non-coding RNA of Acinonyx jubatus (cheetah), 2076 nucleotides long. RefSeq lists it as uncharacterized. The transcript has 2 exons. Lineage: Eukaryota; Metazoa; Chordata; Mammalia; Carnivora; Felidae. The record is from RefSeq and is a predicted model, not a curated record.
AGAUGCUGAUUUCUACGUGGUAUAUUGCACACUGUUACUGAGGACACAAGGACAAGCCAACUAUUAUUUGGUUCAUCAUCAAUUCAUAGAAGUCUCAAAUACCCACUCGACUGCCAGAGUAUUGCUACAGCAAUCUGUGAAUGACAAAUUCACUAAAUUAUCUCUUUGCCAAAAAAAAAAAAAUUAAAUUAGCUAUCUAUCAAGCAUUUGGUGAUCUUUCUAUUGCUGAAGUGAGGCAGAGUUCAUUUUUUGGUAAAUGGUUGUUUAUAAUGGUUUUGAAUCUCACACAGGGCACGUGAUACAAAUGCUAAGCCAUCACACAAAGAGUGAGUCCUCCAACAUGGUGUCAUUCCAGAUUUUGUUUUUGAUUUCCAACAUGUACCAUCUCUAAUCUGGGAUUUAUAGGACCUUUCUCAAUUAUGUGUCCUCUCUCCCUCAAGAGAAGAACAAGAAUCUGCUCAUCUCUUCAUCCCCAGGAUCCAAGCACCCUUAACAUACUCACCUGGUAGGUAAAUAAAGGACAAUUUAUCCAUUUGUCUCACUUCCGAAAUUUCAGCGUUGAACUAUCUUCUGGUUUCUACCCUUCUUUACCUGCCUCAAAUGGCAGCUUAUAGUAUAGUGGAAGUUUAACUGUAGCUGGUAAUUAUUGAGCACUUACUGUAGGUAGACGUGACAUAAAAUGCUUUAAUAUAAUCUUCACAUCAAAUCUGUGGAGUGAGCACUGCUACUGUCAUUACAUAACAAUGAGGAAAUAAAGUUUAGAGAAAUGAAUUAAUUCACCCAGGGUCACAAAAUUAUUCACUGGUGGAACUACAAGCCAAGACUAGGCUGUCUGGUUUUAGAUCAACUCCGAACUGCUCUUUUGUAGCAGAUCCACUGAUGCCCACAACCUGAGUGCCUGGCAUCAGAACUGUUCAUAGUACGUACUUAGUAAGCUUCAACGGAAUGAACGAACAAAUAUUCAUUGCAUUUAGAUUUCUACCCAUAAUAUAUGGGCCUGGGGAUGGGUUACCCUUCAUUCCUCUAAUUUAGGAUAUCUUUUAUUCAUUUAUUUUGACAGAGAGAGAGAGAGAGAGAGAGAGCAAGCAAGAGAGUGGCAGAGAGCACAGGAGAGAGAGAAUCCCAAGCAGGCUCCACGCAGUCACGAUCUGAGCCAAACUCAAGAGGCAGACACUUAACCGACUGACCACCCAGGCGCCCCUAAGUUAGGGUAUCUUCUAGUCCAUCAGAUGUAUCCAACCCUUGCUUUUAGUAUAUUCUUACAUGAUGGACAUUAAUAAUUAAGAAUAUGUUGAUGCUCUAAGAUUACAGAGAAGAAAGGGAAAAAUUAGGAUAGAAACAUAGCACUAAAUAUCAAAAGUCCUGGGGGUGCUUACUUAUUUCUAUCGCAGGAAGCAGUGGUCUCAAAGGAAUGUGCCACACUGCCGCGCCUGUGAUUCUGGAAGGCCAGGAUGAUCCUGGUGCCAGAUGGGGAGCCAUGUGAGGGUGUUGCCCUUGAAAACUGGCAAGAGGGUGGAGGCGAUUGCGGGCAGUAACCACUGGAAAUGAUAGGGUGGGGAUCUGUGCCUGGUGGCUUCACUUGCCGCCUGGAAUUAGCACCUGCAGCAUCUUUGGCAUGUGGACCAGGGAUUGCCAACCGCCAACCUUCGGGAUUGUUGUUUACUAUUUGCUGUGAGUAUAAAGCAUCCGUGUUAAAUAUGGGUUGUCGAGGGCAGAAUUUUGUCUGAAAGGAGGGCAGGAAUGUAGUCCCACUGGAUGAAAACAUGACUCUUCCCUCAACUAGCAGGGCAGGGUCUUACUCUCCGUGCUUUCUUGACAAACUUUAUGGGUUCAUUUUGAUUUGUCUUUUCUUAAUCAGUGUUUCUCUGUUUUUUGUUUUAAUUUUUACUUUUGAAAUCGUUUGAUCGCAAAAGGAGGCGGAUCCUUGAACAUGUCUGGAUUUAGUCCACACGGCGCUGGCUCAGAGUUGGGGUGUGUGGGUUCUCAGCUCCCUGCACUAACUCACUGUGUUAGAAAAGUUGCCUAACUCCUCUGGCCUUCAGUUUCCUCAUCUAUAAAAUGAAACGUUGAGCUAGA